This 71-nucleotide transfer RNA is filed under the name Loxodonta africana (African savanna elephant). It matches the Rfam family "tRNA". Rfam says of the family: Transfer RNA (tRNA) molecules are approximately 80 nucleotides in length. Their secondary structure includes four short double-helical elements and three loops (D, anti-codon, and T loops). The record is from Rfam by way of RNAcentral. Lineage: Eukaryota; Metazoa; Chordata; Mammalia; Proboscidea; Elephantidae.
GCAUUGGCAGUUCAAUGGUAGAAUUCUUGCCUGCCAUGCAGAAGACCUGGGCUCAGCUCUCAGCUAAUACA